This 497-nucleotide ribosomal RNA is filed under the name uncultured bacterium. RNAcentral describes it as "partial 16S ribosomal RNA". It matches the Rfam family "Bacterial small subunit ribosomal RNA", at positions 28 to 507 of the family's 1533-position model. The record is from RNAcentral.
GAUGAACGCUGGCGGCGUGCCUAAUACAUGCAAGUCGAGCGAACAGACGAGGAGCUUGCUCCUCUGACGUUAGCGGCGGACGGGUGAGUAACACGUGGAUAACCUACCUAUAAGACUGGGAUAACUUCGGGAAACCGGAGCUAAUACCGGAUAAUAUAUUGAACCGCAUGGUUCAAUAGUGAAAGACGGCUUUGCUGUCACCUAUAGAUGGAUCCGCGCCGCAUUAGCUAGUUGGUAAGGUAACGGCUUACCAAGGCAACGAUGCGUAGCCGACCUGAGAGGGUGAUCGGCCACACUGGAACUGAGACACGGUCCAGACUCCUACGGGAGGCAGCAGUAGGGAAUCUUCCGCAAUGGGCGAAAGCCUGACGGAGCAACGCCGCGUGAGUGAUGAAGGUCUUCGGAUCGUAAAGCUCUGUUAUUAGGGAAGAACAAAUGUGUAAGUAACUAUGCACGUCUUGACGGUACCUAAUCAGAAAGCCACGGCUAACUACGUG